Molecule: transfer RNA, 74 nt
Filed under: Dehalococcoidia bacterium
Lineage: Bacteria; Bacillati; Chloroflexota; Dehalococcoidia
Description: tRNA-Lys
Rfam family: tRNA
About the family: Transfer RNA (tRNA) molecules are approximately 80 nucleotides in length.
Source: RNAcentral
GCCCUCAUAACUCAAUUAGGUAGAGUAUUCGGCCUUUAACCGAAAAGUUGGGCGUUCGAUCCGCUCUGGGGGCA